This 469-nucleotide ribosomal RNA is filed under the name uncultured bacterium. RNAcentral's name for it is "bacterial SSU rRNA". It matches the Rfam family "Bacterial small subunit ribosomal RNA", at positions 28 to 484 of the family's 1533-position model. The record is from RNAcentral.
GAUGAACGCUAGCUACAGGCUUAACACAUGCAAGUCGAGGGGAAACGAUAGAGAAAGCUUGCUUUUUCUAGGCGUCGACCGGCGCACGGGUGAGUAACGCGUAUCCAACCUGCCCAUCACUUGGGGAUAACCUUGCGAAAGUAAGACUAAUACCCAAUGAUAUCUCUAGAAGACAUCUGAAAGAGAUUAAAGAUUUAUCGGUGAUGGAUGGGGAUGCGUCUGAUUAGCUUGUUGGCGGGGUAACGGCCCACCAAGGCGACGAUCAGUAGGGGUUCUGAGAGGAAGGUCCCCCACAUUGGAACUGAGACACGGUCCAAACUCCUACGGGAGGCAGCAGUGAGGAAUAUUGGUCAAUGGACGAGAGUCUGAACCAGCCAAGUAGCGUGCAGGAUGACGGCCCUAUGGGUUGUAAACUGCUUUUAUAAGGGAAUAAAGUGAGUCUCGUGAGGCUUUUUGCAUGUACCUUAUG